Molecule: transfer RNA, 70 nt
Filed under: Rattus norvegicus (Norway rat)
Lineage: Eukaryota; Metazoa; Chordata; Mammalia; Rodentia; Muridae
Rfam family: tRNA
About the family: Transfer RNA (tRNA) molecules are approximately 80 nucleotides in length.
Source: Rfam by way of RNAcentral
GGGGAUUUGGCUCAGUGGUAGAGCGCUUGCCUAGGAAGCGCAAGGUCCUGGGUUCAAUUCCCAGCCCCCA